UACAGUGGUGCCCCGCAAGACGAAUGCCUCGCAAGACGAAAAACUCGCUAAACGAAAGAGUUUUCCGUUUUUUGAGUCGUUCCGCAAGACGAAUUUCCCUAUGGGCUUGCUUCGCAAGACGAAACGUCUUGCGAGUUUGUUUCCUUUUUCUUAAAGCCGCUAAGCCGUUAAUAGCCGCUAAGCCGUUAAUAGCCGCUAAGCCACUAAUAGCCGCUAAGCCGCUAAUAGCCGUGCUUCGCAAGACGAAAAAACCGCAAGACGAAGAGACUCGC
Molecule: non-coding RNA, 272 nt
Organism: Podarcis lilfordi (Lilford's wall lizard)
Lineage: Eukaryota; Metazoa; Chordata; Lepidosauria; Squamata; Lacertidae
Source: the annotation of a GenBank genome assembly